UAUGAUGCGCGUGUCCCUUCGCGAACGCGCGACAACAGCAAUGGCCGCCGUGGAAGGCCGAAAUCCUAAUCUCGACGAUUUUGUCGGAUUAAAUUGGAGUUGUUGGGUAGAUAGGGUGAAUAUAUUCACAUCUGACGCUGGUCUGUGUGCCGAAUAUGAAAGUGUCAUCAGUGAGACCAUGACCCUCAGCAAAGAAGAUAAGCACAUAUUUGGUGAGUGUCCUUCCCACGAUGACUUCUACCUGGUGGUGUGCAGCCACUGUGGCCUGGUGGUGAAGCCGCAAGCCUUUGAGAAACACUGCGAGAGGCGACACGAUCUCGUUCUGAAGAUGUGCGGACAGUCAUCUACGUUAGCGCCGCAGCAAAGACCUCGCCCCGGCCGCUCUGUCAACCUUUCCCUCUCCAGAGAGAGGCAGAAAGACAGCAGAUGUCUCGAAGCGAGCAUAACGACAGCAGAAUCACCUGGCCACCAUAAUAGGCCCACGAAGGCUCGAAAGGAAGGUGUGAGUUUAUCUUCAGUGGAGAACCCUCAUCUUCCUCACAAUGCUGCUGCCACACGCAGAACUUAUGUUUCUCAGUUUCAACCAAGUGUGCUGCCUUCGGGCCUCUGCUCUUCCUCAUCGUCUACCUCUCCCUCAAAGAGACCCCCGAUGCCAACAUCUAAACAUAUCAGUGAGUCUCCCACUCAUCUACGGGGAAAAGAAUCUUCCAGGAUUUGCACAAAAGCUCACAAGCAAAAAUGUGACCUGAAGAAACAAAGCAGUGAGAUGGAUCAAGCAAAACAGAAGCCACCUUGCAAGCUAAUAUGCAAUGCUGAAGGCAUCCUCCAGCAGCAGAGGUCGCAGGUGUUGGCGAAGCAGAGCGAAGCAUGUCGUAAUAUGGAGCCGCUUCCUGACGAACCUAAAGAGCAGCAUUUAGAAGCUUUAAAUAAGAAAAUAACAAACCUGAAAAACAGCCGGAGCAGCAAUUGUCACAUUCUCAGUCGGUCUAGAACUGCAUCGCAGAGCUUUCCAGAAGAGGAGGCUGACGGCACCGUGAAAGUGGAGGUCCAAACUCCGUACCCCUUCAAUCAGCACCUGCUCUCCGGCGAGGAGAGUGACGAUGAUGAGCAAGAGGAAGCUACUGAUCUGCCUGCCACAUCUUGGCACCCCAAACCUCUUGGUCUUUGCACUUUUGGAUGUCGCUCUCUGGCAUGCAACAUCUUCACCUUUGACAGGCGCCUGCACCACCUGCGGUUUGCCCUCACUGCCAUGUUGGAGCAUCAUGUUAGCACCCACCGCUGGAAGAAAAUACCUCAAGCAUCAUCAGGUCUCAGGUCUCAUCACGUCACAGAGUCUGCCAAGAAUGUGUCUGGACGUUCCCAUACCGCUGGCACCCUCAGCCUUGCCUGUGCCUCACUGGGACAACUUGAAAAAAAGUCACGGAGCACUAAACUACCAUCCAAUACCUCUGCAAAACGACCCGCCAGACUACGAAACCCUAUCGGGUUACCCGGCUCCAAUUUAUCGCAAAAUGAGCUGUCGUGCAGUAGUGAGGAAACAGCCUCAAGAUGUAGCACAGACAAGCGCCAACCUCAGGUGACAUCCUCCCAAGGACCAGUUAAUGGUCACCUCUCACAUGGAAAAAAGACAUGCCAUCCUCUUCCUUUACAGCCCUCAAAGAGACCUGUGUCAGCUUUAGUGCGGCAGUCUGCUUUAUUGUCCCCUGAUAAAGCGGCGACACCGCAUGUUAAGCACAAAAUAUCAGGCUCUAACCAAAGACCUCUAGGUAAAAAGAGAAAAAGUUGCAGUGAAUCCCAGCCUCUCAAGUGUCAGCGUUUGUCCUCCCUAAACUGCCCCAUCUCUUGGAAAGGAGAGAGCAUUGGGGAAGUGCAGUCAAGAAGCCCUGAGAAAAGACCAGCAUCCCAAAUACUAAAGUAACCAAACACACAUCGCCUUGGAGGGUUUUGGACUACACUUGUGCAUCAAUGCUAGAAGAUGAAAGGUUAAAUAAUCUGAGCGCUGACAGCUGGCGUGCAUCAUUGAGCAUGCAGCAUCUGUUUGGACUUGACAACAUCAGCCCCUCCUCUGUGCUGCCUGCCUGCAGCUCGGCAUGAUGGCUGUGCUCAGCAGAGAAGAUGCGUGCAAGGUUGGAGUGGAUGUGUGUUCAGUUACAGUGGAUUCCUGCAUAUAAAUCACGAUUCAGCUUUCGUGUCCCCGCAAAUUUUUUGGCGUAUUUUUAAAACUUUU
This is an RNA transcript of Entelurus aequoreus (snake pipefish), 2227 nucleotides long. It is a transcript of the gene named ataxin-7-like protein 2, with no coding region annotated. Lineage: Eukaryota; Metazoa; Chordata; Actinopteri; Syngnathiformes; Syngnathidae. The transcript has 11 exons. The record is from RefSeq and is a predicted model, not a curated record.